UCUAGUUUUACAAUUCCACAGAUGGAGAGAGAUUUUGCCCAGGAUGGACCAUGCCCAAAGUCUCCUCCACACCUGAUUUAGAUUAUAUGGGCAACGAGAUUUAGAACUUUUGAGCUGAUGACACUUAGGAUGGUAGAGAGCAGUCUACAGCCUGAGACCCAUCACUAGAGUUCCAAGAGCUUCCAGGAUGCUCAACACAUCCACGUGCCAGGAGGGCGGUGUACCCCAACUCCAUGGAGACAGAAGCUCCUGUGCUCAGGACCCUUCCCACCUCACCCUAGGCACCUCUCCAUCUGGCUGUACAUCUGAAUCCUUUCUACAAAACCAGGAGACGUAAGUAAUGUUUCCCCUGACUUCUGUGAGCUGUUACAGCAAACUCUCAAACCUGAAGAGGAGGCUGUGGGAACCGCCAAUUUGUAGUCAAGUUGGUCAGAAGUAGCAGAGGCCUGUGUCUUAUGCUUGGCUCUGAAGUAUGGGCAGUCUGUGGGGCCUGUGAGGUGUGCACUAACUCCAGGUAGGUAGUGUCAGAAUUGAACUGAAUGUCAGGACACCCAACUGGUGUACAGAGAGUUGAAGAAAUGAUUAAGAGUGGGGAAAAUCCCCAUACGGUUGG
This 613-nucleotide long non-coding RNA is filed under the name Homo sapiens (human). RNAcentral describes it as "HSALNT0298762". Lineage: Eukaryota; Metazoa; Chordata; Mammalia; Primates; Hominidae. The record is from RNAcentral.